GCGGGUGUAGUUUAGUGGUAAAACAACUGCCUUCCAAGCAGUGGUCGGGAGUUCGAUUCUUCUCACCCGCA
RNAcentral lists this transfer RNA (71 nucleotides) under Candidatus Kaiserbacteria bacterium. Its description in RNAcentral is "tRNA-Gly". It matches the Rfam family "tRNA". Rfam says of the family: Transfer RNA (tRNA) molecules are approximately 80 nucleotides in length. Their secondary structure includes four short double-helical elements and three loops (D, anti-codon, and T loops). The record is from RNAcentral. Lineage: Bacteria; Candidatus Kaiseribacteriota. RNAcentral also lists the same sequence under 3 other names.